AGUGCGAGGGCAUAGAGCCCUCGCUUUUGUACACCGUAAGGUGGUGUACGAAUAAGAGCUGGGCAAGACCGGUGCCAGCCGCCGCGGUAAUACCGGCAGCUCGAGUGAUGGCCGAUCUUAUUGGGCCUAAAGCGUCCGUAGCUGGCCAGGCAAGUCCGUUGGGAAAUCUGCUCGCUUAACGAGCAGGCGUCCAGCGGAAACUGCUUGGCUUGGGACCGGAGGACCUGAGGGGUACGUCCGGGGUAGGAGUGAAAUCCUGUAAUCCUGGACGGACCACCGGUGGCGAAAGCGCCUCAGGAGGACGGAUCCGACAGUGAGGGACGAAAGCUAGGGUCUCGAACCGGAUUAGAUACCCGGGUAGUCCUAGCUGUAAACGAUGCUCGCUAGGUGUGGCGCAGGCUACGAGCCUGCGCUGUGCCGUAGGGAAGCCGGGAAGCGAGCCGCCUGGGAAGUACGUCUGCAAGGAUGAAACUUAAAGGAAUUGGCGGGGGAGCACUACAACCGGAGGAGCCUGCGGUUUAAUUGGACUCAACGCCGGACAUCUCACCGGCUCCGACAGUAGUAAUGACGGUCAGGUUGAUGACCUUACCCGACGCUACUGAGAGGAGGUGCAUGGCCGCCGUCAGCUCGUACCGUGAGGCGUCCUGUUANGUCAGGCAGCGAGCGAGACCCGCACCCCUAAUUNCCAGCANUACCCUUUNGGUAGNUGGGUACANUAGGGGGACUGCCGCUGCCAAAGCGGAGGAAGGAACGGGCAACGGUAGGUCAGUAUGCCCCGAAUGAGCCGGGCAACACGCGGGCUACAAUGAUUGAGACAAUGGGAAGCCACUCCG
This 833-nucleotide ribosomal RNA is filed under the name haloarchaeon 0Ct23. Its description in RNAcentral is "bacterial SSU rRNA". It matches the Rfam family "Archaeal small subunit ribosomal RNA", at positions 384 to 1213 of the family's 1478-position model. Lineage: Archaea; Methanobacteriati; Methanobacteriota; Halobacteria; Halobacteriales. The record is from RNAcentral.